RNAcentral lists this long non-coding RNA (846 nucleotides) under Homo sapiens (human). RNAcentral's name for it is "non-protein coding lnc-TSN-7:1". Lineage: Eukaryota; Metazoa; Chordata; Mammalia; Primates; Hominidae. The record is from RNAcentral.
CUGCCAUCUGAGUGAUUUUUCAAUACUUCCCCUCACUAAUUAGUUUUGCAGAGCAUUGCCAGGUGGCCUGUUCACCUUUCUCAGGACUCUUGAGGGUAUCUGAAAACCCAGCAAUCGUACAACAAAGAAUUUGACAGAAUGCCAUAAAACACGUUUCAGACAUUGUAUGGGUAGCCCACAUAAAGAGAUUACAAAUCUUUGGGCAAAAUGGAUCAUCUCAGCCUUGUUGAUGUCCCCUGUCUUUUAGGUUUGGACCCCCGGGUUUUCUGGCUCUCACCGGGAGUGCUGGGAAGUGCUGUGUCUGUGAAUCAGUUAGGAACAUUCUCUCACUUCUACUUCUAAAGGGCUCUUCUCUGCCGGUUCCAGUUAGAUCCCUUGGUCGCUUGGUGAGCUUCAUAUCCCGCAGCAAAUUCUGUCUGCUCUGCAUACUGCAUACAGUGACUUGCACAACACCAAGUUGCUCUCAAAUGGCCCUUGAAGGGUUGAGAAACUCGGCAAUUUUCUUUGGGAGUUGGUGUCUUGUCUCUCAUCUUGCCCUUCUCUUAUUUCUUCGUGUCUUCUUUAGAGAUUUAUCACUGGGCAUAUAUAUCCCUAUGGACAUGGCAAUAUUUUCCAGAGAGCCUGGUUACUUGCUUUCUUUCAAGCAUGCUUUGUGCUUUCCUUCUCCAUUAAUUUCUUCAUGAGAGUUUUGAGCAGGGAAAACCUUUAUUCCUUUUUACCUACAUCUUAGUCAUGUCUCACUUCCCUCCAUUUCUCUCCCUUCUCAGAAACUUUUCCACAGCAUUCUAACUCUAACUCAUUGUGACAUCAUUCUUAUUUCAGUUCCCAAAAUUUCUUAUGGCCAUU